CUACAAGUAUUCAUCUCCUCCUCCUCCUUACCACUAUCCCUCACCACCACCUCCAGAGCAUUUACCUCCACCAGUGUACAAAUACAAGUCCCCACCACCACCUCAUCAUGUUUACAAGUACAAAUCUCCACCACCCCCACCACCACACCCAGUUUACAAGUAUAAGUCGCCACCACCACCUCCUCAUCCGGUACCACACCCAGUUUACAAGUAUAAGUCACCACCACCACCUCCUCAUCCGGUACCACACCCAGUUUACAAGUAUAAGUCACCACCACCACCUCCUCAUCCGGUAUACAAGUAUAAGUCUCCUCCGCCACACCACACCCAGUUUACAAGUAUAAGUCACCACCACCACCUCCUCAUCCGGUACCACACCCAGUUUACAAGUAUAAGUCACCACCACCACCUCCUCAUCCGGUAUACAAGUAUAAGUCUCCUCCGCCACCACCACACCCAGUUUACAAGUAUAAGUCACCACCACCACCUCCUCAUCCGGUACCACACCCAGUUUACAAGUACAAGUCACCACCACCUCCUCCCCCAGUUUACAAAUACAAGUCUCCACCACCACCAGUUUACCACUACAAGUCACCACCACCUCCUCCCCCAGUUUACAAAUACAAGUCUCCACCACCUCCUCACCACUACUAAGCAAUUGCUUCUGAGGUAAUAACACUUGUUCAAUAUACCCACUUCUGCAUGAUAAAACAUAUCUCUAUCAACACAAACUGUCAUGUCUAUCAUGCUAAGUGCCUUCACUUCAUCCACCAAAAUGACUGCUAGAAAAUUUUUUUUAUGUUACCAAAGAAAGGCAUCAUUUUUUCCCUCUGUUAUCAAGAACUUGUACAGUAUAUAGAUUAAAGAGUUUUUUUUUAACUAGCUUAUCAACUUAGAAAUGCAUAUAGCUGAUAGCCAGCUGAAUAUUUGCAGGCA
This 936-nucleotide long non-coding RNA is filed under the name Coffea arabica (coffee). RNAcentral describes it as "long non-coding RNA (CARA_LNC006959)". Lineage: Eukaryota; Viridiplantae; Streptophyta; Magnoliopsida; Gentianales; Rubiaceae. The record is from RNAcentral.